AGCUUUCUGAAUCUGCACUGAGAUUUCGACAGACACCAGGCUACGAGGACUGAUGAUACUCCCAAGAUAAGUGAGAUG
Molecule: microRNA precursor, 78 nt
Filed under: Schistosoma mansoni
Lineage: Eukaryota; Metazoa; Platyhelminthes; Trematoda; Strigeidida; Schistosomatidae
Description: mir-3492 microRNA precursor family
Rfam family: mir-3492 microRNA precursor family
Source: Rfam by way of RNAcentral